RNAcentral lists this ribosomal RNA (443 nucleotides) under uncultured bacterium. RNAcentral's name for it is "partial 16S ribosomal RNA". It matches the Rfam family "Bacterial small subunit ribosomal RNA", at positions 338 to 795 of the family's 1533-position model. The record is from RNAcentral.
CCUACGGGAGGCUGCAGUGAGGACUAUUGGUCAAUGGACGCAAGUCUGAACCAGCCAUGCCGCGUGCAGGAAGACGGUCUUCGGAUUGUAAACUGUUGUCGCAGGGGAAGAAGACAGUGACGGUACCCUGUGAGAAAGUCACGGCUAACUACGUGCCAGCAGCCGCGGUAAUACGUAGGUGACAAGCGUUGUCCGGCUUUACUGGGUGUAAAGGGCGCGUAGGCGGGAUAGCAAGUCAGUCGUGAAAUGCCGAGGCUUAACCUCGGAGCUGCGAUUGAAACUGUUAUUCUUGAGUAUCGGAGAGGAAAGCGGAAUUCCUAGUGUAGCGGUGAAAUGCGUAGAUAUUAGGAGGAACACCAGUGGCGAAGGCGGCUUUCUGGACGACAACUGACGCUGAGGCGCGAAAGUGUGGGGAGCAAACAGGAUUAGAUACCCUAGUAGUC